This 142-nucleotide unclassified non-coding RNA is filed under the name uncultured Rozellomycota. RNAcentral describes it as "uncultured Cryptomycota sequence contains ITS1". The record is from RNAcentral. Lineage: Eukaryota; Fungi; Rozellomycota.
CAAAUCACGAGGGAACGACGAUUUUACGCGACGUUAGUAAUAACGCGACGUUUAACGUAGUAUCCCACAUACGCACAAGGUCGCAAGGCCUUGAUGUUUACGCUUGUUUGUUUGACAGAGUUAGUUGUGACAUAAAUAAAGA